This 279-nucleotide ribosomal RNA is filed under the name uncultured bacterium. Its description in RNAcentral is "partial 16S ribosomal RNA". It matches the Rfam family "Bacterial small subunit ribosomal RNA", at positions 506 to 784 of the family's 1533-position model. The record is from RNAcentral.
UGCCAGCCGCCGCGGUAAUACGGAGGGUGCAAGCGUUAAUCGGAAUUACUAGGCGUAAAGCGCGCGUAGGCGGUUUGUUAAGUCGGAUGUGAAAUCCCAGGGCUCAACCCUGGAACUGCCUCUAAAACUCCCAGUCUUGAGUUCGAGAGAGGUGAGUGGAAUUCCGAGUGUAGAGGUGAAAUUCGUAGAUAUUCGGAGGAACACCAGUGGCGAAGGCGGCUCACUGGCUCGAUACUGACGCUGAGGUGCGAAAGCGUGGGGAGCAAACAGGAUUAGAUA